This 853-nucleotide ribosomal RNA is filed under the name Lodderomyces parapsilosis. Its description in RNAcentral is "LSU rRNA". It matches the Rfam family "Eukaryotic large subunit ribosomal RNA", at positions 1 to 798 of the family's 3401-position model. Lineage: Eukaryota; Fungi; Ascomycota; Pichiomycetes; Serinales; Debaryomycetaceae. The record is from RNAcentral.
AGAAAGGCGGAGUAUAAACUAAUGGAUAGGUUUUUUCCACUCAUUGGUACAAACUCCAAAACUUCUUCCAAAUUCGACCUCAAAUCAGGUAGGACUACCCGCUGAACUUAAGCAUAUCAAUAAGCGGAGGAAAAGAAACCAACAGGAUUGCCUUAGUAGCGGCGAGUGAAGCGGCAAAAGCUCAAAUUUGAAAUCUGGCACUUUCAGUGUCCGAGUUGUAAUUUGAAGAAGGUAUCUUUGGGUCUGGCUCUUGUCUAUGUUUCUUGGAACAGAACGUCACAGAGGGUGAGAAUCCCGUGCGAUGAGAUGUCCCAGACCUAUGUAAAGUUCCUUCGAAGAGUCGAGUUGUUUGGGAAUGCAGCUCUAAGUGGGUGGUAAAUUCCAUCUAAAGCUAAAUAUUGGCGAGAGACCGAUAGCGAACAAGUACAGUGAUGGAAAGAUGAAAAGAACUUUGAAAAGAGAGUGAAAAAGUACGUGAAAUUGUUGAAAGGGAAGGGCUUGAGAUCAGACUUGGUAUUUUGUAUGUUACUCUCUCGGGGGUGGCCUCUACAGUUUACCGGGCCAGCAUCAGUUUGAGCGGUAGGAUAAGUGCAAAGAAAUGUGGCACUGCUUCGGUAGUGUGUUAUAGUCUUUGUCGAUACUGCCAGCUUAGACUGAGGACUGCGGCUUCGGCCUAGGAUGUUGGCAUAAUGAUCUUAAGUCGCCCGUCUUGAAACACGGACCAAGGAGUCUAACGUCUAUGCGAGUGUUUGGGUGUAAAACCCGUACGCGUAAUGAAAGUGAACGUAGGUAGGACCUCCUUUAGGAGUGCACUAUCGACCGAUCCUGAUGUCUUCGGAUGGAUUUGAGUAAG